Long non-coding RNA from Lepidothrix coronata (blue-crowned manakin), 999 nucleotides. RefSeq lists it as uncharacterized. The record is from RefSeq and is a predicted model, not a curated record. Lineage: Eukaryota; Metazoa; Chordata; Aves; Passeriformes; Pipridae. The transcript has 3 exons.
AACCAGGGCUGCCUGAAACAGCAUCAACCACAACAUGGCAUUGAUUUGUCUGUCCUUAGACCUCCUGAAAAGACAUGUAUUCCUUCGGCUGCUAGCAAGAGGAAGCCCUACAGAGACCAUCUAAUGAUGCUUAACCAUACUGACUACCUGCACUAAAUAUAAUACAGGAAGAUGAUGGUAAGGACAGCAGAACAGAGAUGGAAUAAGAUGCCAGUUCCAUGCAGGUCACAUUUAGCUCCAGAUUGUUUUCACAUCAGAUGUAGCUGGCAUCAUAUCCUAGGAUUCUGCAGUUGGAGUGAACCAGUUCACAGACUGAUGGAAAAAACAAUGCUUAGGGAAGAAAGAAAAACUUCAAAGAAUUUUCUUCCUUUAAUAUCCUUUAACAGGUCGCUGAUGGUUGCCACCACGAUUCUUCACUGUUUGUGGUCACUUACAGAGUUGCAGGUGCAAAACAGACCUUUUAAUCUACAACUGACAACAUUAUAAAUUCCCCUGAACUUGGAUUUAUCUAUGACUUAUGCACACCUUUGUGAUCUUUGGUUUUGGCAAUGCAUCCUUAGGAAUGAAACUGCAGAUUCAGGUUGCUUUAGGGUUUGGAGUGUAACUCCAUGCCAUGCUAUCAUCCAUUGUGAAUCUCAAGUGUUCUCAGUCUGGUCACUAGAGAAAAGCACUUCAUAGUCACCUGCUACAGUUAUCAAAAGAGGUGUAAGCUGAGACUGUCAGUGUAAGAGAGAGGGUUCAGCAUCUGAGCUAACCCACCAAAGUCAGCAACACACGUUAUCUGUACACUGUCUUAGGCAACAAUUCCUUUCGUUCUAAAAAUCUUGUCUCUGAAUAGCAUUGCUUUGCCUGGUUGGCCUAUUUAAUUUAAUGCUUUCAUAACAUUUCCAGUCGGUCAUAACUUUCCCAAGAUGGAUAUCAGGUUUCAUAACCCUUUUCCUUCUAGAAAAAAAAAAGUUAGAGGAGGGUUACUUUUUGUUAUUGCUGGCUUUUACAAAA